This 427-nucleotide ribosomal RNA is filed under the name uncultured bacterium. RNAcentral's name for it is "bacterial SSU rRNA". It matches the Rfam family "Bacterial small subunit ribosomal RNA", at positions 355 to 774 of the family's 1533-position model. The record is from RNAcentral.
UGGGGAAUAUUGGACAAUGGGCGCAAGCCUGAUCCAGCCAUGCCGCGUGGGUGAAGAAGGCCUUCGGGUUGUAAAGCCCUUUUGUCCGGAAAGAAAUCCUGUCGGUUAAUACCCGGCGGGGAUGACGGUACCGGAAGAAUAAGCACCGGCUAACUUCGUGCCAGCAGCCGCGGUAAUACGAAGGGUGCACGCGUUACUCGGAAUUACUGGGCGUAAAGCGUGCGUAGGUGGUUGUUUAAGUCUGAUGUGAAAGCCCUGGGCUCAACCUGGGAAUGGCAUUGGAAACUGGGCAGCUAGAGUGCGGUAGAGGGUAGUGGAAUUCCCGGUGUAGCAGUGAAAUGCGUAGAGAUCGGGAGGAACAUCUGUGGCGAAGGCGACUGCCUGGACCAGCACUGACACUGAGGCACGAAAGCGUGGGGAGCAAACA